Molecule: ribosomal RNA, 254 nt
Filed under: uncultured bacterium
Lineage: Bacteria
Description: partial 16S ribosomal RNA
Rfam family: Bacterial small subunit ribosomal RNA
Source: RNAcentral
UACAGAGGGGGCAAGCGUUGUUCGGAAUUACUGGGCGUAAAGGGCGCGUAGGCGGCCUGCUAAGUCAUACGUGAAAUCCCUCGGCUCAACCGGGGAACUGCGUGUGAUACUGGCGGGCUUGAAUUCGGGAGAGGGAUGCGGAAUUCCAGGUGUAGCGGUGAAAUGCGUAGAUAUCUGGAGGAACACCGGUGGCGAAGGCGGCAUCCUGGACCGAGAUUGACGCUGAGGCGCGAAAGCCAGGGGAGCAAAGCGGG